RNAcentral lists this ribosomal RNA (492 nucleotides) under uncultured bacterium. RNAcentral's name for it is "partial 16S ribosomal RNA". It matches the Rfam family "Bacterial small subunit ribosomal RNA", at positions 29 to 507 of the family's 1533-position model. The record is from RNAcentral.
AGUGAACGCUGGCGGUAGGCCUAACACAUGCAAGUCGAACGGCCGCACAGUAAGAGCUUGCUCUUACGGGUGGCGAGUGGCGGACGGGUGAGGCAUACAUCGGAAUCUACUUUUUCGUGGGGGAUAACGUAGGGAAACUUACGCUAAUACCGCAUACGACCUACGGGUGAAAGCAAGGGAUCUUCGGACCUUGCGCGAUUCAAUGAGCCGAUGUCGGAUUAGCUAGUUGGCGGGGUAAAGGCCCACCAAGGCGACGAUCCGUAGCUGGUCUGAGAGGAUGAUCAGCCACACUGGAACUGAGACACGGUCCAGACUCCUACGGGAGGCAGCAGUGGGGAAUAUUGGACAAUGGGCGCAAGCCUGAUCCAGCCAUACCGCGUGGGUGAAGAAGGCCUUCGGGUUGUAAAGCCCUUUUGUUGGGAAAGAAAAGCAGCAGGUUAAUACCCCGCUGUUCUGACGGUACCCAAAGAAUAAGCACCGGCUAACUUCGUG